Non-coding RNA from Epinephelus lanceolatus (giant grouper), 3004 nucleotides. NCBI's taxonomy places the organism in Eukaryota, Metazoa, Chordata, Actinopteri, Perciformes, Serranidae. The record is from RefSeq and is a predicted model, not a curated record.
GAGGAGGAGGAGGAGAGUAGCGGAAGUUGCCUUAGUGUUUCCGGGUCUCCCAGACGGAGCGCAGUUAGCAUGUGUUAGCAUGUGUUAGCAUGUUAGCUGAGUGUAAACCAGGACACAAACAGAGUUCAGUCGACUUCAGGAUCUUAAACUUUGAUCCAAACGGCGGCUCGCGACCAUCUGAGUCAUCGAUAAACCGGAAGUCCCACGGGAGACGGAUGUGUGAUGUGUUGUUACAGUGCGACAUGAAGCUGCGGAGAGAAGCAGAUGUCCACCAGCUGUUGGUGGUUAAAGAAAAGUUUCCUCCUGAGCAGCAGGACCAGGAUGACCCAGAGCCCGGAGGAGGACCAGGAUCAGACAGGAAGUCAGAGACCAGAGAACCUCCGUCAGUUCCUGUCGGUGAUUCCAGACGUAGUGCUGCAGAGAAACCACUCAGCUGCUCUGAGUGUGGGAGGAGAUUUAAGCAGAGGGGACACCUGAAGCAACACUUGAAAACUCACACAGGAGAGAAACCGUUCAGCUGCUCCGUCUGUCGGGAGUCAUUUGCUCAGAGAGUCGGGUUACAGACACACAUGAGGACUCACAAAGGAGUGAAACCACUCAGCUGCUCUUGGACUUCCUGCCUUAGACACCAUCAGUGUGGACAAUAUGAACCAACCAGAUACCGCCUCCUGCUGCCCCGCCCCCCCACUGAUGGUAGGAUGUGGACCGUAGAGCCUCAGUCAUGUUCAAACUAUCUGAAUCCUAAAAUGGCCGACAGCAGAGGGUGGAGCUCCUCUGAUGUGUGGGCGUGUCCUGAAGCCGAGACUGAGGUCAUCAUUGAUGGUUGGGAGGAGACCAGAGAGCCUCAGACAGAUGUCCAGCAGCUGUUGGUGAGUCAGGAACAGGUCCCCCCUCAGCAGCUGGACUGGAGCUCCAGUGACGAUGAUGAAGACAAACCUUUGUCCUCACAGCUUCAUCUGAGACAGCAGAUGGAGAUAGAAGCUCAUGGACAAGACUGUGGAGGACCAGGACCAGCAGGGAGUCAGAGACUCAUGUGGAUUUCCUGCCUCAGACACCAUCAGUGUGGAGGGUCCAAACGCAGCAGGUACCGCCUCCUGCUGCCCCGCCCCCCCACUGAUGGUUGGAUUUGGACCGUAGAGCCUCUGUCAGAUUUAAACUCUCUGAAUCCUAAAAUUGCCGACAGCAGAGGGCGGAGCUCCUCUGAUAUGUGGGCGUGUCCUGAAGCUGAGACUGAGGUCAUCAUUGAUGGUUGGGAGGAGACCAGAGAGCCUCAGACAGUUUUACCCUCAGACAUCCAGGAAGUGAUGGUGGGUGCAGAGGUCCAGCAGCUGUUGGUGGUUAAAGAAGAGGUUCCCCCUGAGCAGCAGGAGUGGAGCUCCAGUGUGGACCAGGAGGACCCAGAGCCCCCACACAUUAAAGAGGAAGAGGAGGAACUGUGGAGCAGUCAGGAGGGAGAGCAGCUUCAAGGGCUGGAGGAGGCUGAUAUCACCAAGUUCACAUUCACUCCUGUCCCUGUGAAGAGUGAAGAUGAUGAAGAGAAACCUCAGUCUGAGGGACACCACUGUGGAGGACCAGGACCAGGACCAGGACUAGACAGGAACUCACAUCCAGAUCCAGAUUUAGAACCAGAUACCAAGGACGAGAAGCCUGACGAUUCUUUAGUAGGUGAAAUACGACUGGUGUCUGGAGACUCUUCUGAAGCUGAGACUGAUGACAGUGAUGAUUGGACGGAGACCAGAGACCCUCAGUCAGGGUUCUGUUGGUGACUGAAGAUGUUGCGCUGCAGAGAGAAACUCCUGUUAAUGACUUCAUCUCCUCAGUUCGUCGUCUCUGAUCCCUUGGUUUUAUUUUACCAACAUAUCAGAUGAUAAACCGUCCUGUCAUUACACUCACAAAUGAUCCUGACAUCAUCGUUUGUCCCUGAUCCUCUUUUGGUCUGUUGAUGAUUCUCUCGUCCACAUGUCAGGACAGACACGUCCCUCUGGUUUAUAAAGAAUCCAACUGAGAGCGGCUCAACAAGACCACCAUGACACAGCUCAUUCAGGGAACAGGUACUAUAUUGUGGGGACACGGACACAGAUUGGUUUAUAACAACAUGCAAGAGGUGGCGUCUUCCUAUCAAUCCCAAAAAGACAGAGGUCAUAGAGUUCAGAAAACCAGGCAACAAAUAUGUGACGCUUACCUUCAAUGAGGAUACAAAAAACCACAAAGAACAUCAUGACAGGGAUCGUCAAAGCAGAUGCGGGUUUAUGUUUGAAGAUCCAGGGAGUGAAUUGUGCCUGGUUUCAUCAUUUGAAAAGUACCUGUCUAAAAUCCCAAAAGAGGCUAAAGCUUUUUACCUCCAUCCAAAAAGAGGAGGAAAGUUAGGGGAGGUGUGGUACUCUUUGGAACCCAUGGGUGUAAAUUACCUAGGCUCCAUGCUAUCGCAGAUCUCUAAAGAUGCAGGCACAUCAGCGAUUUACACAAAUCACAGCAUCAGGAGCACUACUGUCCAGAAACUGGCCGAGUGCGGACUGGAAACGAGAGAAAUAAUGGCCGUUAGUGGACACAAGUCCGAGAGUUCCUUACACAGCUACUGGGCCCCUUCUCUGGAUAAUAGAAAACGGUGGAGCAAUAUGCUGCGCACCAGCCGUGGAAACGUCAGGCCGGCAGAGACCAGCCCCUCAAACACCUCUGCAGCAUCACCUGCGAAACGGCUGAGAUCCAGUAUGGAUUUGAUGGAUAACUGUUUCACCAACUGUUCUUUUAAUGGCAGUCUGCAGUUCAAUUUCUACAAAUAACUCCUCCUUGAUCAGUUACUGGAUACUAAAUGGUGUGUAAAAAUGAGAUAAAAUAUGACCCAGGACAACACACAUGUACGACCACAAAUAAGAAUCUAAGACAUAAGAUAAAAUAGUGAAGUUGCAUACAGGAAUGAGAUGUGUGUACAUAAUAAAUUAGAAAAUAAAAGUGUUAUGUGGUUUAACAGUCUGGAUGUUACCUGGCUAAUAUUUUCACCUUGUGG